GACUUUGCGUGAGCUAGUCGUAAAAUCCCUAGUGAUCCUUCCGAAUUUAUGUGUUUGUUUAUACAUUCCAAGUCGAUAAAAUGGAUGUUUACUAAAAGGUGGACCUGUGUUAUACUUUCUAUGGUGAAAUUGGAUAUGGAAUUCGCCUUGAAGCACGUCCUACCACGCUAUACAGGUUCAGGUCAUCAAAUCUGGCAAACACUCCGUCAAACAGUUCUUCGACACAGUUGUCCAGACUGACAACUCGAUCCCCCUUCCCGGCGGAAACAAGACAAACACGCUCUCGACCGGCCGUAAUCGAAACGGACCCAUCCAGCUCAACCGAAGAAGACGACGAAUCACCGUCACCCUGUGGUGGAUUUCUCGACAAGGCAUCUGCAUUAGAAUUUAUCCUCUCAGCUUUCUGAAGGAUUCUGGAAGCAUAUGCAAUGGGUAAAUCCUGACCAAUACCUCCUUGACUCAAAACACCACCAAGAGCGUAAUUCGAUGCAUCAGUCGUUAAUACAAAAGGUUUUGAGAAAUCUGGAUACUGCAACAAUGGUUCGGAACAGGUUUUAUCACGCAGAAUUUCAAAAGCUAUUUGCUGCUCAUUUGUCCAUUUACAUUCGACCUUAUCCUUUAAAAGAAAACUAGUAGGCACAUGCUCUGGAGCAACGCAAAAUUUAUAGUAACCCUCUCGUAGAUAAACUUCAAUGCAAAUCCAGCCUUCGCCAUCAUCAUAGAUACGACAUAGUUGUAAAGUUUCAAAGUCCGGAUCCGAAAGGAGGUAAACCAAUGUCAUCAACAAGGGAUUUGGAUCAGUCAUUUUCAAAUAUAGUUUCUUACUAAUAAUCUUUUAAGUGACAGAAAUGAGUCAUCCCAACUUUUGCAUUCUGUCACACAUCACACUGCAGGGCUUCGAUGCACGGUGUGCCCACUCCUAUAGAAAAGUGGUGGACGGAUUAUAGUAAUUACUACGUCCCCUAGGUGGCACUCGUGUGAAUUC
Molecule: long non-coding RNA, 985 nt
Organism: Belonocnema kinseyi
Lineage: Eukaryota; Metazoa; Arthropoda; Insecta; Hymenoptera; Cynipidae
Exons: 4
Source: RefSeq, a predicted model, not a curated record